Molecule: long non-coding RNA, 3423 nt
Filed under: Homo sapiens (human)
Lineage: Eukaryota; Metazoa; Chordata; Mammalia; Primates; Hominidae
Description: HSALNT0356338
Source: RNAcentral
CCCGCCUUGGCCUCCCAAAGUGCUGGGAUUAUAGGCAUGAGCCACUGUGCCCAGCCCCAUGACAUGCAGUUCUGAUUUUGUUUGAGAGCACUCCUGCUUGGAGACUGAAGAUUGUUGCUUAGAACUUCAACUGCAGAGCAUUCAGUUCUUCUGGAAAUAAUACUGCAUUCAUUUCCUGGGGUCACUGUCACAAAGUCUCACAAACUGAGUGUCUUGAAAACAGAAUUUUAUUGUCUCAUACUUCUGGAGGCUGGAAGUCUAAGAUCAUGGUGUCGGUACUGGCAGGGUUGGUUCCUUCUGAGGCUGUGAGAGAGAAUCUGUUCUGCCACUCUCUGAGCUUCUGGUAGCCUCAGGCAUCCCUUGGUUUGUAGAUGGCCAUCUCCUCUGUGGGUUCUCCCUCUGUACUUUCCCUCUGUAUCUUCCUGUCCCUGUACCUGUCUCUGUGUUCAAAGUCUCCCUUUUGCUAAGGACACAGUCAUACCGGAUUAGGGCUCUCCCUAAUGACCUCAACUUGUGCAUCUGCAAAGACUUUAUUUCAAGUAAGGUCACAGUCACAGAUACUGUGAAUUAGGACUUCAAUAUCAUCUUGGGGGACUCAUUUCAGCCCAUAACAAAUCUUUUCUGCCACCCGAAAGAAGUCAGGACUAACCAGAAAGAGUGAAAACCCUUCACAAGAGGAAAUUUCUUAAUGUUUCUGAAAAAAGAGAUACAUCCUACCUUAAACCUAUAUAGGAUUUUACAGACUAUAAAACAUAUUCAUGAUCUUCAUAGUAACCCUUCAAAUCUACUAAAUACAUUUAUAGUCAGAACGUUUAAUUAAACACUUUGAGGUCACAUUCACAAGGGAGGGUCUACGGCUGAACUUUAGUCAUACAAUCCCAUUCAUGUUUACUGCUCUCCCCAAAUAAAUGAGCAGUCCAGUCUGACUCAUCACAGACCAGGGGGCACGAUGGCUGAGAAACCGCAGACUAACCUAGCUGACAUCACAAAGAACCUGAAAGGUCUGGUCACAAGAGAGCAAAGGAAGGUGAAUAAAUCCUCCUUCAGAAAGUGGCGCAUUCAGGAUGAGAUGCUGAGGAAGAAAGGAAAACACAGUGCUACCACUUGUGAAGAUCACUGAUUAAUACAGACACUGAAGACUACCUUUUUUUUGAUUAGGAUGGAAAGAGGUCUCUUGAAUUUACCAGGAUAUACUGCUAAUCUGGCAACACCAAGAAGCACUGAGCACCUAUCUUCUUUAAAAUGCCUAGGGAAUUCUUGCAGGAAGUAACUCUAGAAUGAGACCUGAAGUUGUCAAGUAGAAAAGGGGUGCGGCUGAAGAACUGCUGUAGAGGCAGACAGAACAGCUGUGCAGGAAGUGAGAGCAAGAAACAUCACCCUGGCUGCACCGGAAACAUGGACUGGAACGAAGAAAGAUUGGAGGUGGGGAGACAAGUUGACCAAGGCUUUGACCCAGGCAGCAGAGGAGAAAGGAUCUGAGUCAAGGCAGAGGCAGGAGGAGAGGAGAAAAGAGUAAACAGAAAGAUGUCGCGAAGGCUGGACUGAGUGGCUGAUGGGAUGUUGAGGAUGAAGGAGAUAGAGGGGUGAGGUGUGAUAGCUAGGAUGCCAGCUCGGACAGCUUGUUACAUGUGAUUGCAUCAUUCAAGACAGAAAGCACAGAAGGAGAAGCUGCCUUGACAAGAUGAUUAUGAAUUCAGUCUAGGAAGUAUUUGCUGAAUUUGUAGCACCUGGGACAUCUGUAUGAGGAUGCACCAGGGCCAAGAGUAUACGUAGGCCCAGAGCAUGGGACAGAGCUCUGGAUGGAGGUGACAAUGUGGGGAUCAAUCGAGCGAGGUGUAUCUAAAGCUGGUGGAGUGGAAGAGGGUUUUCUGGUGUGGUCAGAGUGUAAAGUCAGGAGAAGUUAGUGCCAAGAGCACAAUGCUGAGAGACACUGACCACAGCGGGUGCAUGGACAAGAGAGGGCACACAAGAGAUGCCACAAUCGGGAGGCGGGUAGCGCAUGGGAAUGAAAACCUGGAGAGAUGGAGACCAUGGAACUCCAGAAAAGAGAAUAUUUAUAAAAGAAGGGAGUGAGUGAUUGGCCGAAUGGCAUAGCCAAGACGUGAAGAGAAUGCAGAGGGCAUGGCCUUCCGGAGGACGUGUUGACCUUUGUAGGUCAUUGUCACAAGAGUGACAGCAGGAAGCCAAGUGGCCGCUGGCCAAUGGGGAAAAUAAGGCCUAAAGAAGCUGUCUUCAGAUCAUUUAGUACCCCUGCUUGAAACUCCUCCCUGGGCUUCCACAAGCUGAGGGCUAGAAGGCCAAGGGCAUGAGGCGAUGGGAGCUGGGGCUGCUGGGCUGGUCCUGCUCUGUGCAUGCAGCCGGGAGUGGGGAUGUGGAGCAAACAUGAACGCUGGGGUGGCCCACAGUGAAGUGAAUCCAAAUACCCAUGUAGUGGACAGCCAGGGUCUGUGGCUGACACACGCAUUGGGCUCCUUUUGUCUUACUCAGCAUUCCUUCUUCCGUGUUCUCAUUGCUUAGAUCUUGACAAAUAUUAUACAUAAUCUGGGGAUGAAUGAAUUUUUCCAUGCUUGAAAGGAACACCUUUGGAAACCCCUGACCAGGGUAAAGCAAGGAUCCCAACGCACUGCGAACAGCUGGGUGACGGAGUACCGUUUACAUCUUCACAGAAGUUUUUCACCAUUUCUCCAAUCAUUCUGUGUUUUCCAGCAAGUUUCUAUAGAAGUAUGCUCCAACUCACUCCGUCGUAAGCACGGCUUCUCUCCUGAGUAUGCUAAACUCCCCAAACGCAGCAACAACACAGCGUUCCGAUCUUUGGAAUUAAUAAGCAGUGAAACGUUUGAAACUGAACAAAAAUUUUUACAGCUACUGAACUUCCUGUAAGGAAGGCAUGCUUAGUAAACUGCACUCUUUCUGUAAUACUGUGAAAUGGGAGGUAUUUACGUUGGAGGGCUGAUUGCUGGUUCUUCAUAUGAUGUUUUGAAGUGGAGGUUUCUAUUAAUGAUGCCUCUGUUGAGCACAUCUGGUAUAUUUCUGAAGAGAGGCUUUGUAAACACAUUGGGCAGGCCCAGCUUGUAAGUGACAAGGCAGCACAGUGAGGGUGCAGUGGAGAAAUCCAAGGAAAUAAGGGAUUUGUAAGAAACUAGGACCAGCUUAAGUUAUAAUGAAAGGGCAUCGUGUUAGGAAAAGAACAUUUCCAUCCUUCAGUCACCAUCAGUUAAAGCAGACGUACAUGGAAACCAGAAUGAUCUCUUUACAAGGUUAUUAAAGAUUGUUUUUAUUACCAUAAAUCACUCCUCAUUGGUCUCCUAUCUCCAAUUUGAUGUUUAGAAUCUAAUCUGGAAUUCUUAUGAUGCCCUAGGAGGCCCCUGAUGCUCUGCCUCCUGGUCUGUUUCUAUGUCUCUGUCCCCUAUAUAUAUAUUUUUU